Molecule: ribosomal RNA, 499 nt
Filed under: uncultured bacterium
Lineage: Bacteria
Description: partial 16S ribosomal RNA
Rfam family: Bacterial small subunit ribosomal RNA
Source: RNAcentral
GACGAACGCUGGCGGCGUGCCUAAUACAUGCAAGUCGAGCGGACUGAAUGGGAGCUUGCUCUUGUUCGGUCAGCGGCGGACGGGUGAGUAACACGUGGCCAACCUCCCCGCAGGACGGGGAUACCCCCGGGAACCCGGGGCUAAUACCGGAUACACCCGAGACCGCCAGGGCCUUUGGUGGAAAGCCGGCGCAGGCUGCACCUUCCGGAUGGCCCCGCGGCCCAUUAGCUAGUUGGUGAGGUAACGGCUAACCAAGGCGACGAUGCGUAGCCGGCCUGAGAGGGUGACCGGCCACACUGGGACUGAGACACGGCCCAGACUCCUACGGGAGGCAGCAGUAGGGAAUCUUCCGCAAUGGGCGAAAGCCUGACGGAGCGACGCCGCGUGAGCGAAGAAGGCCUUCGGGUCGUAAAGCUCUGUUGUGAGGGACGAAGGAGCGCCGUUUGAAGAAGGCGGCGCGGUGACGGUACCUCACGAGGAAGCCCCGGCUAACUACGUG